AGUCCUUAUAUGGCGGAUAGAGGCUCAGUGGCACCGUCAGGGGAGCUGGUAAACAGAGUGCCGGACUCCACGGACAGGACGGGGCUUGGGUUGCUCUUAAAGGCGACAUAACCAGAUUUUCUUGAAGUAAGGUCUAGGAUACUCACAGAAAUGUGAGGGACCUAUGAUAUCGGAUUGUGAAGCACAGCAAGUUCUCAACGGCUACACCGCCAAAGGGACACACUAUACCACAAAGGCACUCUGUCUCUACUCAUGCCUCUCAGCCAUAUGUUGCUUUUCAAAUACACAUACAGUUAAACUUUGACUUCUAUUUAUUAAGCUUCAAUAUGGUUGGUCCAAGAGAACAAAGAAAGACUACAUGGCUGGGAAUUUGCACAAAAGAAGACAGGAGAUACCGACGUAGAUUGAAAGGGUGACGCUGUGCCUCUGGAUCCAGAAGAAAACAUCAUUACUGUCUGUAGAGUCAGUGAUUGUGUUCCUACCAAGAGUGCAAUG
Molecule: long non-coding RNA, 495 nt
Filed under: Homo sapiens (human)
Lineage: Eukaryota; Metazoa; Chordata; Mammalia; Primates; Hominidae
Description: non-protein coding lnc-VN1R1-3:2
Source: RNAcentral